GUGUCAGUAUCAGUCCAGGUGGUCGCCUUCGCCACUGGUGUUCCUUCCUAUAUCUACGCAUUUCACCGCUACACAGGAAAUUCCACCACCCUCUACCGUACUCUAGCUUGCCAGUUUUGGAUGCAGUUCCCAGGUUGAGCCCGGGGCUUUCACAUCCAACUUAACAAACCACCUACGCGCGCUUUACGCCCAGUAAUUCCGAUUAACGCUUGCACCCUCUGUAUUACCGCGGCUGCUGGCACAGAGUUAGCCGGUGCUUAUUCUGUCGGUAACGUCAAAACAGCAAGGUAUUAACUUACUGCCCUUCCUCCCAACUUAAAGUGCUUUACAAUCCGAAGACCUUCUUCACACACGCGGCAUGGCUGGAUCAGGCUUUCGCCCAUUGUCCAAUAUUCCCCACUGCUGCCUCCCGUAGGAGUCUGGACCGUGUCUCAGUUCCAGUGUGACUGAUCAUCCUCUCAGACCAGUUACGGAUCGUCGCCUUGGUGAGCCAUUACCCCACCAACUAGCUAAUCCGACCUAGGCUCAUCUGAUAGCGCAAGGCCCGAAGGUCCCCUGCUUUCUCCCGUAGGACGUAUGCGGUAUUAGCGUUCCUUUCGAAACGUUGUCCCCCACUACCAGGCAGAUUCCUAGGCAUUACUCACCCGUCCGCCGCUGAAUCAAGGAGCAAGCUCCCGUCAUCCGCUCGACUUGCAUGUGUUAGGCCUGCCGCCAGCGUUCAAU
This 723-nucleotide ribosomal RNA is filed under the name Pseudomonas sp. RNAcentral's name for it is "partial 16S rRNA". Lineage: Bacteria; Pseudomonadati; Pseudomonadota; Gammaproteobacteria; Pseudomonadales; Pseudomonadaceae. The record is from RNAcentral.